This 492-nucleotide long non-coding RNA is filed under the name Jatropha curcas. RNAcentral's name for it is "long non-coding RNA (JCUR_LNC001558)". Lineage: Eukaryota; Viridiplantae; Streptophyta; Magnoliopsida; Malpighiales; Euphorbiaceae. The record is from RNAcentral.
AUACAAAUUAGUUUACUACUAAUACAAAAAUAUUCAUAGCUUUACUAAGAUUAAACAAAUAAGUAAAUAAAUACGCAAUUAAAUGAAAAUGGUUAUUUGUUUAAUCUCCACAUCCUACUUCUUUAAACUAUCCGAUCUUAUAUACCUUCAAUAAUCAUACAAAGUUAUGGCUCAUAUUUCUUUGACCAACAUUAACUAGGAUCUUAUGUAACAACUUAAUAAUCCGUGAAUCACUAUCCUCACCAAGCAAGAUUAUAGGAAACGUCCUAUUUAAAUUAUCUAUUAAGCAUAACUAAAUAGGCAUACUUUAACUAAUCAAUUCUUAGCACGAAUUGAAUUUAUAACUCAAUACACUAUAGCCUUUGCUACUCAUUAAGCAAAAUUUAACCAAAAUAACUAAACUAGCUGCUGCCUCAACAGUAAUUAAAAAUUCAUAUAUAUGAACUUAAUUAAACCGAAAACUACAAUUUCUCUAAUCACAAGUUGUUGNNN